UACGUAGGGUGCGAGCGUUACUCGGAAUUACUGGGCGUAAAGCGUGCGCAGGCGGUUUUGUAAGCCAGAUGUGAAAUCCCCGGGCUUAACCUGGGAAUGGCAUUUGGGACUGCAAGGCUUGAGUUUGGCAGAGGAGACUGGAAUUCCUGGUGUAGCAGUGAAAUGCGUAGAUAUCAGGAGGAAUACCGAUGGCGAAGGCAGGUCUCUGGGCUAGAACUGACGCUCAUGCACGAAAGCGUGGGGAGCAAACAGG
Molecule: ribosomal RNA, 253 nt
Filed under: uncultured bacterium
Lineage: Bacteria
Description: partial 16S ribosomal RNA
Rfam family: Bacterial small subunit ribosomal RNA
Source: RNAcentral